This is a long non-coding RNA of Gadus chalcogrammus (walleye pollock), 1092 nucleotides long. RefSeq lists it as uncharacterized. The transcript has 3 exons. Lineage: Eukaryota; Metazoa; Chordata; Actinopteri; Gadiformes; Gadidae. The record is from RefSeq and is a predicted model, not a curated record.
GUGAGUAAAGUGUUAACUUUGUUAUUUUUUUUUAUUUUUGUACCGGUAAAUGUCCACUCUGCUUUUUACAUGUUUAUUUUGCUUCAAUACCAAAGGCCAGCGGAUGAACUGUCCUAUUUGCACUUGAUAACUGCUCGCAGUGCAGCCAGUUCAGGGACCCGGGCUCUAGACACUUUUCGAUCGUGGGGCCUUGAGAUGACGAGGCUCUUUUCCUGGCUGGGGCCCCAAAAGGGACGAUACUGGAGAAAGCUGGGGCUUUUGAGCUGGGGACAGUUGCAUGCCACGUGCCCUAUGGGGCAAAGAGAGUGGGCCCAAAAAGCAGGUUAAGGACCCAGAGACGCCAUGGCAGCCAUCAAGUGUGGGAUCUCAGUAGCAUUGGGAAAUUAAGAGGCUUACCUACUGACUGCAACACGGCCACUGUGGUGCCCGCUGCCACCGCCCCUCCGUUCGCUGCGGCAGCUGCUGACAUCAUGCCUGCAGCCAUUGACCCAGCGGUGAUUCCUGCCGCGGUGAAUCAAGCGGCACCCAGAACGAAAGGGGCCGUUGAAGGGAUUCCUUGAGGCUUUGGGGAAGCUGCAGAAGAAGUUCUAUGCCAAAGGCCAGCGGAUGGACUGUCCUAUUCACACUUACUUGGUGACGGCUCUGGGCGGCUAUAGCGGAGCUGGGUGUUGUAAUGUAACCAAAAUAACUUUCAUUCAACUAACCUUUUGGUUGUCAAACUAAACAAAUUGCCAGUGUGGGGUUAUUCAAUUAAAAGUGUUUCAAAGUGCUCAAUUGAUGAGACAGCACACUAAAACAUCCCCUUCCAUCUUUUCUUAUUGAACACUCAGAAGCCUCAUCUGACCCACAUUGAAAGUCCAUAACAAGAUAAAACAUUAGGAAAUUAAAGGUAACCAGUCCAGGUGUUUAUUGUUAUAGCAAAGGUGUUCAAACUACCCAGCUCUAUUCUUGCUGUGUUCAGGACAACUCUGAAAUUCAGCCACAAUAUGCUGAACUCUCCCUCCGGCCUGGAAUUUAACAUUUUAAAGCAUUGCUGCCUUCCUUAAAUAUUAAAUAAAUGAUCCAAAUCAAUGAAUAUGCUGUAAUGUUUUU